This 408-nucleotide ribosomal RNA is filed under the name uncultured bacterium. RNAcentral's name for it is "partial 16S ribosomal RNA". It matches the Rfam family "Bacterial small subunit ribosomal RNA", at positions 29 to 526 of the family's 1533-position model. The record is from RNAcentral.
AGUGAACGCUGGCGGCGUGCCUAAUACAUGCAAGUCGAACGGAGUGGCGCACGGGUGAGUAAUAUAUAGCUAAUCUGCCCCUUGCUGGAGGACAACAGUUAGAAAUGAAUGCUAAUACUCCAUAGCAAGGGAUGAGUCUAUAUCGUAUCAGCUAGUCGGUGGGGUAACGGCCUACCGAGGCUAUGACGCGUAACUGGUCUGAGAGGAUGAGCAGUCACAUUGGAAGUGAGACACGGUCGAAAAUCCGUCGGCAGGCAGCAGUAGGGAAUAGUGCGCAAUGGGGGAAACCCUGACGGAGCAUCGCCGCGUGGAGGAUGACACUUUGCGGAGAGUAAACUCCGUUUGUUAGGGAAGCGGUACCUAACGAAUAAGCACCGGCUAACUCCGUGCCAGCAGCCGCGGUAAUUC